GAAUCUGACAGUGUAGAGUACAAGAGUAUUAGACCUUCAAGACUGUACAAUAAUGAAGGUUGCUGUUCUUUUUGUCAUUAGCUGCUUCAUUGCAACUGCUUAUAGCAACAGCAUAAACGCAGAGAAAGUGAUUGCUGACGGCACAGAAUCUGGUUUAACUUGCAAAUGUUUAUUAGCUAAAUGCAACUUAGAAUCAGGAAUCUACACGUGUGAUGCUGACAGUAAUUGUGUCUGUCGUUCUGAAACAGAGGGCUAUAAACCAAGUUACUGCAAAUGUAAGGAGGGAUACUGUAAGGAGAAGGUUCCAGGUGUACUGUAUUGCAAAAAUGGCUGUAGCUGCACUGUAUGAUAAACACUGGAAGCAAAUGAAAAACAUAAUUAGAUGAAUCUCUUAGUUAAAAUUACAAUGUAGUAUAUGCUGCAGUUUCAUUAUUAUCUUUCAUAAAACAUUUAGUAAAUCAUUAAGUAUAAAACCAAA
Amphimedon queenslandica is the source of this 478-nucleotide long non-coding RNA. RefSeq lists it as uncharacterized. The record is from RefSeq and is a predicted model, not a curated record. The transcript is spliced from 2 exons. NCBI's taxonomy places the organism in Eukaryota, Metazoa, Porifera, Demospongiae, Haplosclerida, Niphatidae.